RNAcentral lists this ribosomal RNA (492 nucleotides) under uncultured bacterium. RNAcentral describes it as "partial 16S ribosomal RNA". It matches the Rfam family "Bacterial small subunit ribosomal RNA", at positions 29 to 507 of the family's 1533-position model. The record is from RNAcentral.
AGUGAACGCUGGCGGUAGGCCUAACACAUGCAAGUCGAACGGCAGCACAGUAAGAGCUUGCUCUUACGGGUGGCGAGUGGCGGACGGGUGAGGAAUACAUCGGAAUCUACUUUUUCGUGGGGGAUAACGUAGGGAAACUUACGCUAAUACCGCAUACGACCUACGGGUGAAAGCAGGGGAUCUUCGGACCUUGCGCGAUUGAAUGAGCCGAUGUCGGAUUAGCUAGUUGGCGGGGUAAAGGCCCACCAAGGCGACGAUCCGUAGCUGGUCUGAGAGGAUGAUCCGCCACACUUGAACUUAGACACGGUCCAGACUCCUAAGGGAGGCAGCAGUGGGGAAUAUUGGACAAUGGGCGCAAGCCUGAACCAGCCAUACCGCGUGGGUGAAGAAGGCCUUCGGGUUGUAAAGCCCUUUUGUUGGGAAAGAAAAGCAGCAGGUUAAUACCCCGCUGUUCUGACGGUACCCAAAGAAUAAGCACCGGCUAACUUCGUG